Molecule: transfer RNA, 73 nt
Filed under: Trichonephila clavata
Lineage: Eukaryota; Metazoa; Arthropoda; Arachnida; Araneae; Nephilidae
Rfam family: tRNA
About the family: Transfer RNA (tRNA) molecules are approximately 80 nucleotides in length. Their secondary structure includes four short double-helical elements and three loops (D, anti-codon, and T loops). Further hydrogen bonds mediate the characteristic L-shaped molecular structure. tRNAs have two regions of fundamental functional importance: the anti-codon, which is responsible for specific mRNA codon recognition, and the 3' end, to which the tRNAs corresponding amino acid is attached (by aminoacyl-tRNA synthetases). tRNAs cope with the degeneracy of the genetic code in two manners: having more than one tRNA (with a specific anti-codon) for a particular amino acid; and 'wobble' base-pairing, i.e. permitting non-standard base-pairing at the 3rd anti-codon position.
Source: Rfam by way of RNAcentral
GUUCCUGUCGUGCAAUGGAUAGCACGUUGGACUUCUAAUUCGAAGGUCGUGUGUUCGAAUCUCACCUGGGAUG